CAGUAGCCGCGGUAAUACGAAGGGUGCAAGCGUUAAUCGGAAUUACUGGGCGUAAAGCGUGCGUAGGCGGUGAGUUAAGUCUGCUGUGAAAUCCCCAGGCUCAACCUGGGAAUGGCAGUGGAUACUGGCUCGCUAGAGUGUGUCAGAGGAUGGUGGAAUUCCCGGUGUAGCGGUGAAAUGCGUAGAGAUCGGGAGGAACAUCAGUGGCGAAGGCGGCCAUCUGGGACAACACUGACGCUGAGGCACGAAAGCGUGGGGAGCAAACAGGAUUAGAUACCCCGGUAGUCCCUGUCUCUUAUAC
Molecule: ribosomal RNA, 301 nt
Filed under: uncultured bacterium
Lineage: Bacteria
Description: partial 16S ribosomal RNA
Rfam family: Bacterial small subunit ribosomal RNA
Source: RNAcentral